GCAUCGGUGGUUCAGUGGUAGAAUGCUCGCCUGCCACGCGGCGGCCCGGGUUCGAUUCCUUCCCGGCCGAUGCA
RNAcentral lists this transfer RNA (74 nucleotides) under Cordylochernes scorpioides. Its description in RNAcentral is "tRNA-Gly". It matches the Rfam family "tRNA". From Rfam's summary of the family: Transfer RNA (tRNA) molecules are approximately 80 nucleotides in length. Their secondary structure includes four short double-helical elements and three loops (D, anti-codon, and T loops). The record is from RNAcentral. Lineage: Eukaryota; Metazoa; Arthropoda; Arachnida; Pseudoscorpiones; Chernetidae.